Perognathus longimembris pacificus (Pacific pocket mouse) is the source of this 558-nucleotide long non-coding RNA. RefSeq lists it as uncharacterized. The record is from RefSeq and is a predicted model, not a curated record. NCBI's taxonomy places the organism in Eukaryota, Metazoa, Chordata, Mammalia, Rodentia, Heteromyidae. The transcript is spliced from 2 exons.
CUCAUGACAUACAAGUAUUGUUCUAUGGCCAUGUCACCCAAAAUGCACCUUACAUGAAAACUAAGUACUAAGAAGAACUUGGGAGUAAUGAAAGUGUUGAAUAGUCUAUGCACUAGUCUAAUUAGGAUUCUUUAGGUAUUAACAUAACAUACUAGAGACAACUAUGAAAACGUUAUAACGUGGGUGCUAAUGGCUUACACUGUAAUUCUACUCAGGAAUCUGAAAUCUGAAGAUCACAUUUUAGAACCAACCCAGACAAGGCAGGUCCAUGAGACUAUUAUAUCUAGUUAACCAGAAAAGCCAUUCUUUUUGGUUUUUGGCAUUGUUUUCUUUUGUUUUUUUGAAACAUGGUCUCACUUUAUAGACCAGGCUAGUCCUGACCUCUUGCUUCCAUCACUCCCAAGCUUAAGAUCUUAAUAUAACAGUAUCUGGUUACUUUCCAGAAAGCAUGCCAGCUGAUUUUCCCUCAGCAGUUUAUAAAAUUUAAUAUCUCAUUAAACACUUACUCCCAGCAUUAAUUAUUAUUGAGCUUUUAAAUACUGCCUAAUUUGGUAAAAA